CGUGCACAACCGUUUUCGAAUCCUUCGGGAUUCGGAUUCUGGAUUUUCCUUCACCUAACCAAGCCAGUGCCGGGUUCCUAUGGACCUCGAGUUCCCUGUACUCACCUGAAUUAUGCACAAAGGUGCCUACUUACCUGCUGCAAGUGCCUGCUGAUCGACAUUAUUCGCCUAGUACCUGUAAAAAAUUAAAAAACAACAAUACAGUUUAUUAGUGUGUGAAAGAAACAAUUCAUGAAGCAUCAUACAAUGCUGAAGGUGGUUAUCGGUUGCUAUUGGUUGCGAGGUGAGAAGCCCCGCCCUCCUGGCACAUAAAUGCUGGAGCGAGCUGGGUCAGAGUCAUUUUGUCAUUGAAUUCGCCUGAUGAGAACACUGUGGGAAGGUUCGAAACGCGUCGCGACAGACCUGAAUGACAAAAUUUGAAGACAUUUAAAAAUAAACAGCCGGCAUCAUUAGGGUGGUGAUGCGUCUGAGCACAAUAUAUGUUUAUUCAAUUUUUCUUCUCCGUCCAUACAGACGUUGAGAUGUGUACUUUUAGAGUAAUAUACCCCUUAACCACAUCUAAACCUUAACCUACCAUCGGUUUUUCUUCACACACCCCUGAGAAAAACAGCCCGUGUGGCUGUAGCCCGGGUUUGGGAUUGUUUACAGAGCCUAAAAAAAUAUUUUAGACUGGCGUUGGCUUUCUGUGGGGAAGUGUUGGCUGUUGUUGUGUGAUUUGGGGGUGUGCUUGUGACUCUUGGCGGCCGGUGGACUCAGGACCGUGCACAACCGUUUUCGAAUCCUUCGGGAUUCGGAUUCUGGAUUUUCCUUCACCUAACCAAGCCAGUGCCGGGUUCCUAUGGACCUCGAGUUCCCUGUACUCACCUGAAUUAUGCACAAAGGUGCCUACUUACCUGCUGCAAGUGCCUGCUGAUCGACAUUAUUCGCCUAGUACCUGUAAAAAAUUAAAAAAACAACAAUACAGUUUAUUAGUGUGUGAAAGAAACAAUUCAUGAAGCAUCAUACAAUGCUGAAGGUGGUUAUCGGUUGCUAUUGGUUGCGAGGUGAGAAGCCCCGCCCUCCUGGCACAUAAAUGCUGGAGCGAGCUGGGUCAGAGUCAUUUUGUCAUUGAAUUCGCCUGAUGAGAACACUGUGGGAAGGUUCGAAACGCGUCGCGACAGACCUGAAUGACAAAAUUUGAAGACAUUUAAAAAUAAACAGCCGGCAUCAUUAGGGUGGUGAUGCGUCUGAGCACAAUAUAUGUUUAUUCAAUUUUUCUUCUCCGUCCAUACAGACGUUGAGAUGUGUACUUUUAGAGUAAUAUACCCCUUAACCACAUCUAAACCUUAACCUACCAUCGGUUUUUCUUCACACACCCCUGAGAAAAACAGCCCGUGUGGCUGUAGCCCGGGUUUGGGAUUUUUUACAGAGCCUAAAAAAAUAUUUUAGACUGGCGUUGGCUUUCUGUGGGGAAGUGUUGGCUGUUGUGUGUGAUUUGGGGGUGUGCUUGUGACUCUUGGCGGCCGGUGGGACUCAGGACCGUGCACAACCGUUUUCGAAUCCUUCGGGAUUCGGAUUCUGGAUUUUCCUUCACCUAACCAAGCCAGUGCCGGGUUCCUAUGGACCUCGAGUUCCCUGUACUCACCUGAAUUAUGCACAAAGGUGCCUACUUACCUGCUGCAAGUGCCUGCUGAUCGACAUUAUUCGCCUAGUACCUGUAAAAAAUUAAAAAACAACAAUACAGUUUAUUAGUGUGUGAAAGAAACAAUUCAUGAAGCAUCAUACAAUGCUGAAGGUGGUUAUCGGUUGCUAUUGGUUGCGAGGUGAGAAGCCCCGCCCUCCUGGCACAUAAAUGCUGGAGCGAGCUGGGUCAGAGUCAUUUUGUCAUUGAAUUCGCCUGAUGAGAACACUGUGGGAAGGUUCGAAACGCGUCGCGACAGACCUGAAUGACAAAAUUUGAAGACAUUUAAAAAUAAACAGCCGGCAUCAUUAGGGUGGUGAUGCGUCUGAGCACAAUAUAUGUUUAUUCAAUUUUUCUUCUCCGUCCAUACAGACGUUGAGAUGUGUACUUUUAGAGUAAUAUACCCCUUAACCACAUCUAAACCUUAACCUACCAUCGGUUUUUCUUCACACACCCCUGAGAAAAACAGCCCGUGUGGCUGUAGCCCGGGUUUGGGAUUUUUUACAGAGCCUAAAAAAAUAUUUUAGACUGGCGUUGGCUUUCUGUGGGGAAGUGUUGGCUGUUGUGUGUGAUUUGGGGGUGUGCUUGUGACUCUUGGCGGCCGGUGGGACUCAGGACCGUGCACAACCGUUUUCGAAUCCUUCGGGAUUCGGAUUCUGGAUUUUCCUUCACCUAACCAAGCCAGUGCCGGGUUCCUAUGGACCUCGAGUUCCCUGUACUCACCUGAAUUAUGCACAAAGGUGCCUACUUACCUGCUGCAAGUGCCUGCUGAUCGACAUUAUUCGCCUAGUACCUGUAAAAAAUUAAAAAACAACAAUACAGUUUAUUAGUGUGUGAAAGAAACAAUUCAUGAAGCAUCAUACAAUGCUGAAGGUGGUUAUCGGUUGCUAUUGGUUGCGAGGUGAGAAGCCCCGCCCUCCUGGCACAUAAAUGCUGGAGCGAGCUGGGUCAGAGUCAUUUUGUCAUUGAAUUCGCCUGAUGAGAACACUGUGGGAAGGUUCGAAACGCGUCGCGACAGACCUGAAUGACAAAAUUUGAAGACAUUUAAAAAUAAACAGCCGGCAUCAUUAGGGUGGUGAUGCGUCUGAGCACAAUAUAUGUUUAUUCAAUUUUUCUUCUCCGUCCAUACAGACGUUGAGAUGUGUACUUUUAGAGUAAUAUACCCCUUAACCACAUCUAAACCUUAACCUACCAUCGGUUUUUCUUCACACACCCCUGAGAAAAACAGCCCGUGUGGCUGUAGCCCGGGUUUGGGAUUUUUUACAGAGCCUAAAAAAAUAUUUUAGACUGGCGUUGGCUUUCUGUGGGGAAGUGUUGGCUGUUGUGUGUGAUUUGGGGGUGUGCUUGUGACUCUUGGCGGCCGGUGGGACUCAGGACCGUGCACAACCGUUUUCGAAUCCUUCGGGAUUCGGAUUCUGGAUUUUCCUUCACCUAACCAAGCCAGUGCCGGGUUCCUAUGGACCUCGAGUUCCCUGUACUCACCUGAAUUAUGCACAAAGGUGCCUACUUACCUGCUGCAAGUGCCUGCUGAUCGACAUUAUUCGCCUAGUACCUGUAAAAAAUUAAAAAACAACAAUACAGUUUAUUAGUGUGUGAAAGAAACAAUUCAUGAAGCAUCAUACAAUGCUGAAGGUGGUUAUCGGUUGCUAUUGGUUGCGAGGUGAGAAGCCCCGCCCUCCUGGCACAUAAAUGCUGGAGCGAGCUGGGUCAGAGUCAUUUUGUCAUUGAAUUCGCCUGAUGAGAACACUGUGGGAAGGUUCGAAACGCGUCGCGACAGACCUGAAUGACAAAAUUUGAAGACAUUUAAAAAUAAACAGCCGGCAUCAUUAGGGUGGUGAUGCGUCUGAGCACAAUAUAUGUUUAUUCAAUUUUUCUUCUCCGUCCAUACAGACGUUGAGAUGUGUACUUUUAGAGUAAUAUACCCCUUAACCACAUCUAAACCUUAACCUACCAUCGGUUUUUCUUCACACACCCCUGAGAAAAACAGCCCGUGUGGCUGUAGCCCGGGUUUGGGAUUUUUUACAGAGCCUAAAAAAAUAUUUUAGACUGGCGUUGGCUUUCUGUGGGGAAGUGUUGGCUGUUGUGUGUGAUUUGGGGGUGUGCUUGUGACUCUUGGCGGCCGGUGGGACUCAGGACCGUGCACAACCGUUUUCGAAUCCUUCGGGAUUCGGAUUCUGGAUUUUCCUUCACCUAACCAAGCCAGUGCCGGGUUCCUAUGGACCUCGAGUUCCCUGUACUCACCUGAAUUAUGCACAAAGGUGCCUACUUACCUGCUGCAAGUGCCUGCUGAUCGACAUUAUUCGCCUAGUACCUGUAAAAAAUUAAAAAACAACAAUACAGUUUAUUAGUGUGUGAAAGAAACAAUUCAUGAAGCAUCAUACAAUGCUGAAGGUGGUUAUCGGUUGCUAUUGGUUGCGAGGUGAGAAGCCCCGCCCUCCUGGCACAUAAAUGCUGGAGCGAGCUGGGUCAGAGUCAUUUUGUCAUUGAAUUCGCCUGAUGAGAACACUGUGGGAAGGUUCGAAACGCGUCGCGACAGACCUGAAUGACAAAAUUUGAAGACAUUUAAAAAUAAACAGCCGGCAUCAUUAGGGUGGUGAUGCGUCUGAGCACAAUAUAUGUUUAUUCAAUUUUUCUUCUCCGUCCAUACAGACGUUGAGAUGUGUACUUUUAGAGUAAUAUACCCCUUAACCACAUCUAAACCUUAACCUACCAUCGGUUUUUCUUCACACACCCCUGAGAAAAACAGCCCGUGUGGCUGUAGCCCGGGUUUGGGAUUUUUUACAGAGCCUAAAAAAAUAUUUUAGACUGGCGUUGGCUUUCUGUGGGGAAGUGUUGGCUGUUGUGUGUGAUUUGGGGGUGUGCUUGUGACUCUUGGCGGCCGGUGGGACUCAGGACCGUGCACAACCGUUUUCGAAUCCUUCGGGAUUCGGAUUCUGGAUUUUCCUUCACCUAACCAAGCCAGUGCCGGGUUCCUAUGGACCUCGAGUUCCCUGUACUCACCUGAAUUAUGCACAAAGGUGCCUACUUACCUGCUGCAAGUGCCUGCUGAUCGACAUUAUUCGCCUAGUACCUGUAAAAAAUUAAAAAACAACAAUACAGUUUAUUAGUGUGUGAAAGAAACAAUUCAUGAAGCAUCAUACAAUGCUGAAGGUGGUUAUCGGUUGCUAUUGGUUGCGAGGUGAGAAGCCCCGCCCUCCUGGCACAUAAAUGCUGGAGCGAGCUGGGUCAGAGUCAUUUUGUCAUUGAAUUCGCCUGAUGAGAACACUGUGGGAAGGUUCGAAACGCGUCGCGACAGACCUGAAUGACAAAAUUUGAAGACAUUUAAAAAUAAACAGCCGGCAUCAUUAGGGUGGUGAUGCGUCUGAGCACAAUAUAUGUUUAUUCAAUUUUUCUUCUCCGUCCAUACAGACGUUGAGAUGUGUACUUUUAGAGUAAUAUACCCCUUAACCACAUCUAAACCUUAACCUACCAUCGGUUUUUCUUCACACACCCCUGAGAAAAACAGCCCGUGUGGCUGUAGCCCGGGUUUGGGAUUUUUUACAGAGCCUAAAAAAAUAUUUUAGACUGGCGUUGGCUUUCUGUGGGGAAGUGUUGGCUGUUGUGUGUGAUUUGGGGGUGUGCUUGUGACUCUUGGCGGCCGGUGGGACUCAGGACCGUGCACAACCGUUUUCGAAUCCUUCGGGAUUCGGAUUCUGGAUUUUCCUUCACCUAACCAAGCCAGUGCCGGGUUCCUAUGGACCUCGAGUUCCCUGUACUCACCUGAAUUAUGCACAAAGGUGCCUACUUACCUGCUGCAAGUGCCUGCUGAUCGACAUUAUUCGCCUAGUACCUGUAAAAAAUUAAAAAACAACAAUACAGUUUAUUAGUGUGUGAAAGAAACAAUUCAUGAAGCAUCAUACAAUGCUGAAGGUGGUUAUCGGUUGCUAUUGGUUGCGAGGUGAGAAGCCCCGCCCUCCUGGCACAUAAAUGCUGGAGCGAGCUGGGUCAGAGUCAUUUUGUCAUUGAAUUCGCCUGAUGAGAACACUGUGGGAAGGUUCGAAACGCGUCGCGACAGACCUGAAUGACAAAAUUUGAAGACAUUUAAAAAUAAACAGCCGGCAUCAUUAGGGUGGUGAUGCGUCUGAGCACAAUAUAUGUUUAUUCAAUUUUUCUUCUCCGUCCAUACAGACGUUGAGAUGUGUACUUUUAGAGUAAUAUACCCCUUAACCACAUCUAAACCUUAACCUACCAUCGGUUUUUCUUCACACACCCCUGAGAAAAACAGCCCGUGUGGCUGUAGCCCGGGUUUGGGAUUUUUUACAGAGCCUAAAAAAAUAUUUUAGACUGGCGUUGGCUUUCGGUGGGGAAGUGUUGGCUGUUGUGUGUGAUUUGGGGGUGUGCUUGUGACUCUUGGCGGCCGGUGGGACUCAGGACCGUGCACAACCGUUUUCGAAUCCUUCGGGAUUCGGAUUCUGGAUUUUCCUUCACCUAACCAAGCCAGUGCCGGGUUCCUAUGGACCUCGAGUUCCCUGUACUCACCUGAAUUAUGCACAAAGGUGCCUACUUACCUGCUGCAAGUGCCUGCUGAUCGACAUUAUUCGCCUAGUACCUGUAAAAAAUUAAAAAACAACAAUACAGUUUAUUAGUGUGUGAAAGAAACAAUUCAUGAAGCAUCAUACAAUGCUGAAGGUGGUUAUCGGUUGCUAUUGGUUGCGAGGUGAGAAGCCCCGCCCUCCUGGCACAUAAAUGCUGGAGCGAGCUGGGUCAGAGUCAUUUUGUCAUUGAAUUCGCCUGAUGAGAACACUGUGGGAAGGUUCGAAACGCGUC
Molecule: long non-coding RNA, 6466 nt
Organism: Carassius gibelio (silver crucian carp)
Lineage: Eukaryota; Metazoa; Chordata; Actinopteri; Cypriniformes; Cyprinidae
Exons: 3
Source: RefSeq, a predicted model, not a curated record